ACACAUGCAAGUCGAACGAUGAAGCCCUUCGGGGUGGAUUAGUGGCGAACGGGUGAGUAACACGUGGGCAAUCUGCCCUUCACUCUGGGACAAGCCCUGGAAACGGGGUCUAAUACCGGAUAACACUCGCCGAGGCAUCUCGGUGGGUUGAAAGCUCCGGCGGUGAAGGAUGAGCCCGCGGCCUAUCAGCUUGUUGGUGAGGUAGAAGCUCACCAAGGCGACGACGGGUAGCCGGCCUGAGAGGGCGACCGGCCACACUGGGACUGAGACACGGCCCAGACUCCUACGGGAGGCAGCAGUGGGGAAUAUUGCACAAUGGGCGAAAGCCUGAUGCAGCGACGCCGCGUGAGGGAUGACGGCCUUCGGGUUGUAAACCUCUUUCAGCAGGGAAGAAGCGAAAGUGACGGUACCUGCAGAAGAAGCGCCGGCUAACUACGUGCCAGCAGCCGCGGUAAUACGUAGGGCGCAAGCGUUGUCCGGAAUUAUUGGGCGUAAAGAGCUCGUAGGCGGUCUGUCACGUCGGAUGUGAAAGCCCGGGGCUUAACCCCGGGUCUGCAUUCGAUACGGGCAGACUAGAGUGUGGUAGGGGAGAUCGGAAUUCCUGGUGUAGCGGUGAAAUGCGCAGAUAUCAGGAGGAACACCGGUGGCGAAGGCGGAUCUCUGGGCCAUUACUGACGCUGAGGAGCGAAAGCGUGGGGAGCGAACAGGAUUAGAUACCCUGGUAGUCCACGCCGUAAACGGUGGGAACUAGGUGUUGGCGACAUUCCACGUCGUCGGUGCCGCAGCUAACGCAUUAAGUUCCCCGCCUGGGGAGUACGGCCGCAAGGCUAAAACUCAAAGGAAUUGACGGGGGCCCGCACAAGCAGCGGAGCAUGUGGCUUAAUUCGACGCAACGCGAAGAACCUUACCAAGGCUUGACAUCGCCCGGAAAGCAUCAGAGAUGGUGCCCCCCUUGUGGUCGGGUGACAGGUGGUGCAUGGCUGUCGUCAGCUCGUGUCGUGAGAUGUUGGGUUAAGUCCCGCAACGAGCGCAACCCUUGUUCUGUGUUGCCAGCAUGCCCUUCGGGGUGAUGGGGACUCACAGGAGACUGCCGGGGUCAACUCGGAGGAAGGUGGGGACGACGUCAAGUCAUCAUGCCCCUUAUGUCUUGGGCUGCACACGUGCUACAAUGGCAGGUACAAUGAGCUGCGAUGUCGCAAGGCGGAGCGAAUCUCAAAAAGCCUGUCUCAGUUCGGAUUGGGGUCUGCAACUCGACCCCAUGAAGUCGGAGUUGCUAGUAAUCGCAGAUCAGCAUUGCUGCGGUGAAUACGUUCCCGGGCCUUGUACACACCGCCCGUCACGUCACGAAAGUCGGUAACACCCGAAGCCGGUGGCCCAACCCCCUUGUGGGGAGGGAGCUGUCGAAGGUGGGACUGGCGAUUGGGACGAAGUCGUAACAAGUA
RNAcentral lists this ribosomal RNA (1442 nucleotides) under Streptomyces phaeochromogenes. RNAcentral describes it as "bacterial SSU rRNA". It matches the Rfam family "Bacterial small subunit ribosomal RNA". Lineage: Bacteria; Bacillati; Actinomycetota; Actinomycetes; Kitasatosporales; Streptomycetaceae. The record is from RNAcentral.